AUCAUCUGCCAGGGGACUGUGGGGAACAUGGCAUCCUACCGCACUCUGGUGUGCCCAGUGUGCAAACAUACCUGGUUCCACCGGGGCUGCAUCCAGCGACAGGCCUUGAAUGAUGGCCCUGCAUUCUUCGGGUGCCCUGGCUGUCAGGACAACGCCCGAUUUUGUACUGAAAUGUCCAUCCUUGGGAUCCAUGUCCCAGACAGAAGAUCAGAAUGGGAGGACAGUUACGCGUACACACCAGUUGUAACGCAGC
Coturnix japonica (Japanese quail) is the source of this 253-nucleotide non-coding RNA. The record is from RefSeq and is a predicted model, not a curated record. Lineage: Eukaryota; Metazoa; Chordata; Aves; Galliformes; Phasianidae.